AGUCGAGGGGUAGCAGGAUGUAGCAAUACAUCGCUGACGACCGGCGCACGGGUGAGUAACGCGUAUGCAACCUACCUUCUACAGGGGCAUAGCCCGGAGAAAUCCGGAUUAAUACCCCAUAACACAGGGACUCCGCCUGGAGAUAUUUGUUAAAGAUUAAUCGGUAGAAGAUGGGCAUGCGUUCCAUUAGCCAGUUGGUGAGGUAACGGCUCACCAAAGCAACGAUGGAUAGGGGAACUGAGAGGUUUAUCCCCCACACUGGAACUGAGACACGGACCAGACUCCUACGGGAGGCAGCAGUGAGGAAUAUUGGUCAAUGGGCGCGAGCCUGAACCAGCCAAGUCGCGUGAAGGAAGACUGCCUUAUGGGUUGUAAACUUCUUUUAUAUGGGAAUAAAAAGAGUUACGUGUAACUUAUUGCAAGUACCAUAUGAAUAAGCAUCGGCUAACUCCGUGCCAGCAGCCGCGGUAAUACGGAGGAUGCGAGCGUUAUCCGGAUUUAUUGGGUUUAAAGGGUGCGCAGGCGGUCCAUUAAGUCAGCGGUGAAAUCUA
Molecule: ribosomal RNA, 551 nt
Filed under: uncultured bacterium
Lineage: Bacteria
Description: bacterial SSU rRNA
Rfam family: Bacterial small subunit ribosomal RNA
Source: RNAcentral